RNAcentral lists this transfer RNA (73 nucleotides) under Stegodyphus mimosarum. It matches the Rfam family "tRNA". Rfam says of the family: Transfer RNA (tRNA) molecules are approximately 80 nucleotides in length. Their secondary structure includes four short double-helical elements and three loops (D, anti-codon, and T loops). Further hydrogen bonds mediate the characteristic L-shaped molecular structure. tRNAs have two regions of fundamental functional importance: the anti-codon, which is responsible for specific mRNA codon recognition, and the 3' end, to which the tRNAs corresponding amino acid is attached (by aminoacyl-tRNA synthetases). tRNAs cope with the degeneracy of the genetic code in two manners: having more than one tRNA (with a specific anti-codon) for a particular amino acid; and 'wobble' base-pairing, i.e. permitting non-standard base-pairing at the 3rd anti-codon position. The record is from Rfam by way of RNAcentral. Lineage: Eukaryota; Metazoa; Arthropoda; Arachnida; Araneae; Eresidae.
GCCUUUGUGGUGUAAUGGUCAGCACGCUCGAGUCGUAUUCGAGACGUCCGUGGUUCGAUUUCCGGCGAGGACA